This 1076-nucleotide ribosomal RNA is filed under the name uncultured Pseudomonas sp. RNAcentral's name for it is "bacterial SSU rRNA". It matches the Rfam family "Bacterial small subunit ribosomal RNA", at positions 8 to 1078 of the family's 1533-position model. The record is from RNAcentral. Lineage: Bacteria; Pseudomonadati; Pseudomonadota; Gammaproteobacteria; Pseudomonadales; Pseudomonadaceae.
AGAGUUUGAUCAUGGCUCAGAUUGAACGCUGGCGGCAGGCCUAACACAUGCAAGUCGAGCGGAUGACGGGAGCUUGCUCCUUGAUUCAGCGGCGGACGGGUGAGUAAUGCCUAGGAAUCUGCCUGGUAGUGGGGGACAACGUUUCGAAAGGAACGCUAAUACCGCAUACGUCCUACGGGAGAAAGCAGGGGACCUUCGGGCCUUGCGCUAUCAGAUGAGCCUAGGUCGGAUUAGCUAGUUGGUGGGGUAAUGGCUCACCAAGGCGACGAUCCGUAACUGGUCUGAGAGGAUGAUCAGUCACACUGGAACUGAGACACGGUCCAGACUCCUACGGGAGGCAGCAGUGGGGAAUAUUGGACAAUGGGCGAAAGCCUGAUCCAGCCAUGCCGCGUGUGUGAAGAAGGUCUUCGGAUUGUAAAGCACUUUAAGUUGGGAGGAAGGGCAGUAAGUUAAUACCUUGCUGUUUUGACGUUACCGACAGAAUAAGCACCGGCUAACUCUGUGCCAGCAGCCGCGGUAAUACAGAGGGUGCAAGCGUUAAUCGGAAUUACUGGGCGUAAAGCGCGCGUAGGUGGUUUGUUAAGUUGGAUGUGAAAGCCCCGGGCUCAACCUGGGAACUGCAUCCAAAACUGGCAAGCUAGAGUACGGUAGAGGGUGGUGGAAUUUCCUGUGUAGCGGUGAAAUGCGUAGAUAUAGGAAGGAACACCAGUGGCGAAGGCGACCACCUGGACUGAUACUGACACUGAGGUGCGAAAGCGUGGGGAGCAAACAGGAUUAGAUACCCUGGUAGUCCACGCCGUAAACGAUGUCAACUAGCCGUUGGAAUCCUUGAGAUUUUAGUGGCGCAGCUAACGCAUUAAGUUGACCGCCUGGGAGUACGGCCGCAAGUUAAAACUCAAAUGAAUUGACGGGGGCCCGCACAAGCGGUGGAGCAUGGUGGUUUAAUUCGAAGCAACGCGAAGAACCUUACCAGGCCCUUGACAUGCAGAGAACCUUUCCAGAGAUGGAUUGGNGCCUUCGGAACUCUGACACNNGUGCUGCAAUGCCUGUCGUCAGCUCGUGUCGUGAGAUGUUGG